Molecule: ribosomal RNA, 454 nt
Filed under: uncultured bacterium
Lineage: Bacteria
Description: bacterial SSU rRNA
Rfam family: Bacterial small subunit ribosomal RNA
Source: RNAcentral
UACGGGAGGCAGCAGUGGGGAAUAUUGCACAAUGGGCGCAAGCCUGAUGCAGCCAUGCCGCGUGUAUGAAGAAGGCCUUCGGGUUGUAAAGUACUUUCAGUCGUGAGGAAGGUGUUAAGGUUAAUAACCUUAGCAAUUGACGUUAGCGACAGAAGAAGCACCGGCUAACUCCGUGCCAGCAGCCGCGGUAAUACGGAGGGUGCGAGCGUUAAUCGGAAUUACUGGGCGUAAAGGGCACGCAGGCGGUUAAUUAAGUUGGAUGUGAAAUCCCCGGGCUUAACCUGGGAAUGGCAUUCAAGACUGGUUAGCUAGAGUCUUGUAGAGGGGGUAGAAUUCCAUGUGUAGCGGUGAAAUGCGUAGAGAUGUGGAGGAAUACCGGUGGCGAAGGCGGCCCCUGGGCAAAGACUGACGCUCAUGUGCGAAAGCGUGGGGAGCGAAACAGGGAUUAGAUACC